UACGAAGGGGGCUAGCGUUGCUCGGAAUCACUGGGCGUAAAGGGUGCGUAGGCGGGUCUUUAAGUCAGGGGUGAAAUCCUGGAGCUCAACUCCAGAACUGCCUUUGAUACUGAGGAUCUUGAGUUCGGGAGAGGUGAGUGGAACUGCGAGUGUAGAGGUGAAAUUCGUAGAUAUUCGGGAGAAAGACCUCGAGUGGCAGGAACGG
Molecule: ribosomal RNA, 205 nt
Filed under: uncultured bacterium
Lineage: Bacteria
Description: partial 16S ribosomal RNA
Rfam family: Bacterial small subunit ribosomal RNA
Source: RNAcentral